This 233-nucleotide ribosomal RNA is filed under the name uncultured bacterium. RNAcentral's name for it is "partial 16S ribosomal RNA". It matches the Rfam family "Bacterial small subunit ribosomal RNA", at positions 100 to 334 of the family's 1533-position model. The record is from RNAcentral.
CGGGACGGGUGAGUAAUGUCUGGGAAACUGCCCGAUGGAGGGGGAUAACUACUGGAGACGGUAGCUAAUACCGCAUAACGUCGCAAGACCAAAGAGGGGGACCUUAGGGCCUCUUGCCAUCGGAUGUGCCCAGAUGGGAUUAGCUAGUAGGUGGGGUAACGGCUCACCUAGGCGACGAUCCCUAGCUGGUCUGAGAGGAUGACCAGCCACACUGGAACUGAGACACGGUCCAG